This is an RNA transcript of Nilaparvata lugens (brown planthopper), 5046 nucleotides long. RefSeq lists it as uncharacterized. NCBI's taxonomy places the organism in Eukaryota, Metazoa, Arthropoda, Insecta, Hemiptera, Delphacidae. The record is from RefSeq and is a predicted model, not a curated record. The transcript is spliced from 12 exons.
UCUCUUUUCUGUUGUUUUUGUACUUGAGUUGGUUGUUUGUAAACGAGAAAACCAGUGUUAUUUUGUGUGUUCUUAUUUUAAACAAAUGCUUGAAAACUUUAAAUUAUCUAAAAGUAAUUUUUUGAUAAUGUUUUUUAUAAAAUAAAUUCAUUUAUCAAACUUUAAAUUUCAAGAAGAAAGUUUAUUAAUAGUUUCGGGAAAUGUGAUUGUGCGUUUUAGGUUUAAAUUGAGGUUAAACUUAGGGUUUGUUCAUUUUAGACAAAUCUUUUCUAAGAAAGCACCAAAACAUCCAGGUAACAAAAAAAAAUUCAUACCUUAAAAAUAGGUAAUUCGAAUGUCAACAUGAGUGAUAAAGAAGACGAUGUUGAUAAUUCUAUUAAAAGUGAAGAGACUGAACACCACUUACCCAUAUCAUCAUCAAGCACCAUCCUUACAACAUCUUCUAGUGUUGGUUCAAAUCAUUGUAAUUUUGUUGAAAGAGUGACACCAAAGGUUUUGUUUAUUGGUAGUAGUUUGAAAGUAGGAUCUAAUAAGCUUAUUCAAAAUGAUUUACCAGUCUUUAUGCGACAAGAAUUGGGCAUGGUUCCACCUCAUAGCUCGUUAAAACAAGAUCUACAAUAUGAGCAUAUUGGUCUGGAUAAAUUCAGAAAGUAUUUAGAGUUAAAUAGGACUUAUCCUGAAAUGAGAUUGGAUGAGCGUGUUUCAAAACACAUGUUAGAACAAGAUAGAAAGUCAAGUGUUCCAGUUGUGAUAGGAUCUGUUGAGAAUGAUUUGAAAAGAAUGACUUUAAGACCUCCAGUACUGGGACACGCAUCGUCUUCUUCUAAUGAUAGUGGUUCUGCAAUAUCUGGUUCAUCAGGAAAUGAAAGUGAAGAUGUUCCGGUUUCAGCGGUUGGAACUGAUAAUGAAUUUGUAUGCACUGAUGUUAAACAGACCGCUACAUCGAUUAGGGAAGAUGUCAAACCACCUGAAGGCUUAUUAGACCAAAGUAAUCAAAUGGAUCAGCCACCAUCUUCAGCAUCAAGUGUAGCCUCCGUAUCUCUAAAGCCUCUUGAGUGGGAUAGUGGAGCAGAUGUAGGUUACUAUCAAAUUUACUCAUCAAACAACUCAGAUGAGAAGAAGUUGAGCACUAUUGAACGUAUAGCUAUAGCUACUGGAUCAGCUGCUCUCCUAACAAGAUUGGAACCAGAAGGAACCACUGAAUAUAGAACUCAACAAGCUAAUACAAUGCCAUCCAAUAAAUCUUUGAAAAAAGAUAAUAUUAAGGAGCGGUUGGGUAUUCCUAUGGCAGAAUCUACACCAUUCAGUACAAAACAAUCAAUAAAUGACACUCCAUCAGGUCAUGUUGAUUCAGGAAGUCAAAAUGAAUUGUCUCCUAUAAUACCGGCAACAUCUGAUCAUAUUCGAGUACAAUCUACGGUUAACGUGGACAAUGAUGGAGGGACAAGUGAGCUUGUCCCAAAAUUAACAGAUAAUGUAAAGGAAUUGCCAUACUGUCCUCUCUUUCCUGAAAUUAAAACUUCGACUGAAAAUGUGCAAUCAUCUCAGAAAAAUAAAGCUAAUAGCUCAUAUUUUAAACCUCAGAAAAAAGAGGCAAUUGAAAAUGUUGAGAACUUCAUUGAUGAUUCACAGAAAAAUACAGAAUGCAUCAAUUUAGAUGGUAUGAAAGAAAAUUUGAGAAAGCAUUUUAGUAGUUCAAUGGAGAAUCUGCGAGAUAAUGAGUCUCCCAAGUCACCACCAAUAAACACUCAAUUCAAUACAUUGCCUCGAAGUCAAAGUCAUAGUGAUGUCUGUGUAGCAAUGCCUGAGUCAAACACAUUGCCCAAAUAUCUGUUGCAAUGUAAUAAUCCCACAAAAUCUGCUUCAUCAUCCUCUAUCGCCACCGUUGUACAGAAGAAAAAAGAUUCGCCGAAACAUAUUUCAAAGCUUGUACAAACGUCUUUUGUUAACCAAUCUAUAGGUGUUCAAGUUACCGAUUUAGGUCAGUUUUCGAACUCUCAGAAAUCUGGAUCAAGAGAAAGAAGCCAAUCGUUGAAGGCAACAUCCUCAGUCACUGGCUUUUCAAUUCAAAAUUUCCAGUAUUCAAAGCCUAGUUGAGUCUCGCAUGUACAUGAACAUGACGGCAACAUAUGCAAUGGAGCACAUAGAAAAGUAUUUGAUAGAGGAGAGACCAGCAAACGUCUUACAUCACAGCCAUUUUCCAAGAAUGACAGCAAUGUAGGAUCGACAAGCUCUUCUAAUCAACAGAGAGCAAGCAGGAAUGAACGGAAAGAGUCUAGAGUGGACAAUAACGACGAAAGUGGUACAUUGGACAGUGUGACAAGCAGUGUGAAAACUGAGCCUCCAGCGUGGGCCGACCGGAAUGAGUCGAUGGGCGUCGAAGACAGAGCGAACAGCUUCGAGUACCUGCCAGGCCACAUGUACAGGCCUGACGACGCGUCGGGGCGCGAGAGCUCAUCGAUCUCACUCAACCGAAACGCCUCGUCGCACAACGAACUGACCGAUGAAGCUGACAAAUCAUGGGAUGUCUCAAACUCAAGCACGUUUGCCAGAGACAUUGAACGUGGUGUUGACAUGAUGCUGAAUUUCGUGCAAAGCUCGCAAGUAAAAAGUUCCGAACUGAAGAAAAAGUUGAUGAAGCGCGUUGCCGAAAAACUGAUUUCCACCGAUAUUUCAUCUGGCUGCCACAAAAUGGACAGUAAAAACCCUUCUUCUAUUGGAUCGAAUUCGUUAUCUGAGGAGAGACUUGGUGAACAUAGAAAUGGAAGGGAAACAAGAAGGGGUGACGUCAAAGACAUUCAUUGCCAAGAGUCACCUUUCACCUCUGAAAGAACUUCAAGUCGGACAUCAUCCGAAUGCUUCAAGCCGAAAUCAUCAUUCUCCUCAGCUAAAAAACAUGCUAUCAAAGAUGUACUUGACAAAUGUGUUGGUACAGAGCGCAGUACUCAAUCAUCAUCUGACAGUAACGGACCCAGACGUAUUUUUGGGUCAGUUGGCGUACAGUGCGAGUCAAUAAGCAGCAAUGAGGUAUCCAAGUUGUACUUGGAGAAGUCCUCUGCUAAAUACCAUGACAACAAGGAAUGCAGUGAUUUUCAAAAGCAACCGACCAAUUCAGGGAAGAAGAGUGAUCGUCGUCUCAGGACUCCUGAAUCAUCAAUUACAAUUGAUUCGAAUAGGAGCAGCCCUGUUGACAAUUCUUCUGAUUGGAAGCCGUCAAUGCCGAUUCCCACCAGAGUUUUUGAACAGAAAAGAAAAUUUCAAGCGGGCAAUACCAGAACAGAUGAUAAUGUUAACACAAAAGCAAUGAUUGAUCUACUCAGCUUUGAAAGAGAUAACCAACGCCUUAUGAUUCAAUCUGAAAUAGAGCACUUGGAUUAUUUGAGAAGACUCCUACAGAAGCAGGAAGAAUUGAGAGACUCAUUAGCUAAAAUCCAAAAAACCAGACAGAAGCAUCUAGACUCCCGUUAUAAUAAGUGCAAAACUGCCAAUGAAAGUAAUAAGCAGGUGCUUAAUUCUAUAAAAAGUCGACUGAAACAAUAUUCCGAAUCAAAUCAUAGAAGAAAUUCAAAUACUGAGGAGGAACAUCAAGAAUGGGAUUCUCAUAAUUAUUGUUCGUCUGUUGAUGAGAUGAACAAACCAAUAUCGAACAAGGUUCAUAGAAACAACUCAAUAUCUGUUAGCCAAGAGCAGAGAAAUAACGAUGGUACUAUCAAAACGAAGAAAUCACAAGAUAGUAGAAGAGUGGAUGAUUGCCAACGUUCAAAGAAUGACGAUAAUUUUGUUGAUACUAGAUCGAAUGGUGAAUCUAGUGAAAUACUAGCUUCGAAACCAGUAACCAGUGACAAUCAGCAGUCAACAAAGUCUCAGUCGCGAAGGUCUUCAAAGUCUUCAGCUUUAGAACCAGAUUGUCCAGUUUGCCACUCUAAAAAAAUCCAAUCAUGCAAGUGCUCCAGGAAUAAUCCAAGCUUGGAGAAGAAUAAAAAGCCUUUGGCUUACUUUAUAACGUUCGAAGAUGGAUCUUCAGAAAAUAAUUCUUCUGUUGGUGCUGAAAACUCCUUGGAAGAGAUCAAAUUAAAAUCAAAUAGAAGCAAUGAUAGAGUAUCGAAUGUUACCAACGUAAAAAAGAAAGAAACUUCAGCAGUUGAGAAAGAAAAUCGAGAACCAAAACAACCAAAGAAAAAUCAUGAAUGGAGACCAACUUUGCAGGAGUACCUGGUGAUGAAUCGCGGUGAAUAUGUGAACAGAGCCGAAUACAGAAGGAAAUGUGUAGCAGAAUUGACAUAUUUGAGAGAACUGCGCAAUAAAACUAAACGACAUCUAAUUGUGAUGGCACCAGAAAGCUCUGACUACAGUCAGUCUACAACACCGAGGGAACUUCCACCUCCUCCAUUGGCAAUGAAACGAGUCUUCAGUCAAAGGACAAUGAGACGACAAACGGAACGCAAGUAUCGCCAGCUGGCUGAAGUGAAAAAUAGAAACAUUGACUUGAAACGAAAAGAAGCGUAUCGUACUAAUAGGUUGAUGGCUGAAGUUUUCACCAAGAAGCUGCAGAAACGGGUCUUGAAUGGAGAAACGAAUCUAUCAAAUAGUGUUAGCGUGAUAUCCAGCCUUUAAAAUUAGGUACAGAAGUGCUAAGAAGCACUGCUUCUAAAUCCAAAGCUAUAUAGACGUCUAAGAUAUAAUAAUUGAUUUAUAAUCUUUGAUAUGCAUAUAAUUAUGAUGAAUUAUAUGCGUCAAGUACAAUACUCUAAUAACCUUCUUCUGAGUAAUGACGUACUUCAAGUUGAGGCCGUAGAUUUCUUUGGGAUACUUCGAAUUCAUCACAUAAAAAAGCCGAUUAAGGAAUGGUGUCCAUUGCAAUAUCUUCUCCAUUGAGUUCAUACAAAGAAACAAACAAGGUUGAAUACAGGCUAUAAUGGUGAGUGCAAAAUAAUACUUUUUUAUUAAAAAAAUUCUUCACAGUAUCAAUUUCCUGAAAUGCUUUAAUUUUUAUCUAUGGCCGUACAGUAAACUUUACAUAAAUCAUACAAAUUAAUUGUUUUUAGA